UACGUAGGGUGCAAGCGUUGUCCGGAAUUAUUGGGCGUAAAGAGCUCGUAGGUGGCCUGUCGCGUCGGCUGUGAAAACUCGGGGCUCAACUCCGAGCUUGCAGUCGAUACGGGCAGGCUAGAGUUCGGCAGGGGAGACUGGAAUUCCUGGUGUAGCGGUGAAAUGCGCAGAUAUCAGGAGGAACACCGGUGGCGAAGGCGGGUCUCUGGGCCGUAACUGACGCUGAGGAGCGAAAGCGUGGGGAGCGAACAGG
This 253-nucleotide ribosomal RNA is filed under the name uncultured bacterium. Its description in RNAcentral is "partial 16S ribosomal RNA". It matches the Rfam family "Bacterial small subunit ribosomal RNA", at positions 524 to 776 of the family's 1533-position model. The record is from RNAcentral.